UCUUUCUGAAGUUUUCUGCCUUGUCAGGCUGCCCCUUUCCUGGGGAGAAAGGCAGGCCUUCGUUGGGGCUGGGUCUGCAGUGUCUCCAGGUUGCGGCCUUCCUUACCUCCAAGCCUGGGACACUCAGGGCAAAAAGAAAAGCCAGGGAAGCCCAUUGCUGUGCUAUUUGUUCCUUGGGUCCCGAGGUCCCUGGCCAUUCUGCCUUCUCUUCACCUUCCUCUUCUUAACAUUUCUUUGUCUGUGGUUUCCAGGGCUUUAGUUGCUGUAUUUAGCAGGAGGAAUAGGAAAAAGCACAUCGACUCUGUUUUCCCAGGAGCAGAGAUCUCUCAGGUGAGUUUGACUAGCUUUUUAUUGCAUACUUCUUUUUUUCUGAUAUAAAUCUUUAGGAGUUCCCAUUGCGGUAACGAACUCAAUUAGUCCUUAAUCCACUGAGCGAGGCCAGGGAUCAAACCCUCAACCUCAUGGUUACUAAUCUGUUCCUGCUGCUCCACAAUGAAACAUCCAUGACUCUGACAUUUUUGAAAAUUGUAGUCCAGCAAUUACAUAGAAUAUCCUUCAGUUAUAUAGAAUUUCCUCAAUGUAUGUGAUGUUUCUCAUGAUUGGAUUUGGAUUGUUUUUCUAGCAGGAACAUUACAUGAAUGCUCUGUCUUUCUCAGUGCAUCUUAUCAGGUGAUACGGUAUAUCAAUAGGACCCAUCACUGGUGAUGUACAGACAUUGAGAUCUUGGUUAAGGGAAAUCUCCCUAGUCCUCUCCAUUGUCAAGUUUUUCUUUUAAUUUUUGUAACUAAGAAGCACUUUUCGUGGGGAGAUACUUUGAUAGUAUUUAAAUAUCCUAUCCUCAAUCCAACUUAAGCCACAAGAGGCAGCAUCCAUUGACAAUUCUUGCACACAUCAAUUGUUGCCAAAAAUGUUGAAAAACUAUACUUUUCUUUAGGUGACUUAAGUUUAUUCCUUUUGUCUUGUAACCAAAAGAACCUGACUAAAGCCAAAGUUAGAAUGGAAUGUUUCUAUCAGGGGUUUGUAUGGCAAAGCCACUAAUUGGCCAACCCCUGGGGUCUCUCAGACUCUCUGCAUGGGUGCUCCAUUGGGGGGUGGGCGGGGUGUGAUGGUUUGGUGGCUGUAGCUCUGGAUCAUUUCUAAGGUGGCGGGGGGAUUGUUUUUGAGUGCUCUAGACUGGAUUAGUUACUGUAUUAUAAAUUCCUUACUAUCUUGCCAAACCUGUACUGAUACUUUGUUUUAGUAUAUGUGCUGCCAAGCAAGCACGGAUACUUUGUUUUAAUGUCUGUCUCCCUCCCUAGAGAGUAAGCUUUGGGACCUUCGGAAACAUAGCCCUUGAUCUAAGGGGUAGAAACUGCCGCAUGGAUUAAAGGAGAAAUGACCACGUCAAAUACGACACCUCUUUGGCUUGUCUCGCUGUGUCUCACGUCUCGGUUUUAUAUGCUUCCUCUGGCAUCUUUUUAUUAUAGCCUUAAUACUACCUGCACAUUUUGCUGAAAAGAUGCCAUUUUUUGGAGCCUGAAUUCGCCCUGCUCUGUCACUCAACACCAGUCCAGCCACUUUCCUGCAGGGGUAACAUUCAGUGUUGUGUGUUUUGCAGCUCCAGUGCCUGGCACGGUGUUUGAUAAAUAUUUAUUGACUGAGUGAGUGAAUGUAAGUAGGGGAGGCAGACAACAGUGGGUAGGGUCUGCGAUGUCCUGGCUGAAUAGCAAUUCUUGACUGUAAUGUCCUCAAAUCCGUCAGUGUUUCCCUUUAUGGUUUGCAGUUUCAUGAAUUUAAGAAAAUUCCAUGAAGGAGUUCCCAUUGUGGUGCAGCAGAAACGAAUCCGGCUAGGAACCAUGAGGUUUUGGGUUCGAUCUCUGGCCUCACUCAGUGGGUUAAGGAUCCAGCAUUGCUGUGACUAUGGUGUAGGCUGGCAGCUGUAGCUCUGAUUCGACCCCUAGCCUGGGAACCUCCAUAUGCCGCAGGUACGGGCGAGAAAGAAAAAAAAAAAAAUCCAUGUAACUAACAUAACAUUGUAAAUCAUACUCCAAUAUAACAUAAAAAUUAAUAAAAAUGAAAAAAGAAGAAAUUCUAUCCCAAGGUCACAAAAUUACUCUCCUAUAUCUUCUUUUGUUAGCUUUAUAGUUUGGCCAUGUGUUCUAAAGUCCUUAAUCCAUCUGGAGCUUACUUUUUUUUUUUUUUUUUUUUUUUUUUUGUCUUAAUACUACCUGCACAUUUUGCUGAAAAACCUUGGCAGGUGAGAGUUCCUGGACCAGGGAUUAAACCUGCAUCUGAGCCACUGCACUGACAAUGCUGGACCCUCAACCCAUUGAGCCACAUGGGAACUCUGGAGCUCAAUUUUCUAUACGGUAUGAGGUAGGGAUAUAACUAUUUCUUUUUUUCUCUGUAGCUGAGGGGGCUACAUAUCCCCUCUGCUAUUCUAACCUGAUCCCAUUAAUGUCAUCUUCCCUUUAUCCUGUCUCAAGUUGCCCUCUGCGCACAGGAUGUCUCUGCACUCUGUUCAGUUUCAGUUCCCUCCUUUGUCAGUUACUGAGCAACACCACUUGUAUUUGUGUGUAUGUGUGUUUUUGUUGUUGUUUUGCUAUGGCUUUUGUGGUAUGUUUUACCAUCUGGCAGGGUGAUUCCCUUCUGUUUCCUCUUCGUUUUCAAAGCCAAUGCAGCUAUUUUUGACCUCUAUACCAUCUAUACAUUUUGGGUAAGUUUGUCAAGUUUCUGAAAAUUUAACUUUUAUAUCAUUUUAAGAAGAAUUAAUAUCUUUAUAAUAUUGAUCCGACCCAUCCAAACAAGUAGCUCAUCUCUCCAUUUACACCAAACUUUUAUAUCUUUAACAAUUUCAAAUUUUGGAAUUCCCUGGUGGUACAGCAGGUUAAGUAUCUGGCAUUGUCACUGCUGUGGCGCAAGUUCGAUCCCUGGCCUAGGAACUUCUGCAUGCUGCGGGUAUGGCCAAAAAAAAAAAAAAACCACCCCAAACCAAACAGCUUCAAGUAUUUCCAAGGAAGGUUUUACAUAAAUGUAAGAAACAUUCAUAAUUAAGUUCUGAAUACUAUUGUGAAGGAUACUUUGCUUUCUACAAUUCCUAAUUAAUUAUUGCCAGUGUCAAGAGAGCUAUUAGUAUUAAAUUUUUCUUGUAUCCAGCAAAGUCCCUGACUCUCCUAGGGGUUUGAAUAGUUUGCUUAUUGUUUCUGAUUGAUAGAUUUUCUUUUUUUUCUUUUGCUUUUUUAGGGCCACACCUGCGGCACAUGGGAGUUCCCAGGCUGGGGAACUAAUCGGAGCUACAGCUGUGGCCUCUACCCUAGCCACAGCAACUCAGGAUCUAAGCCAAGAUUGCCACCUACACCACAGCUCAUGGCAACACCGGAUCCUUAACCCACUGAGCAAGGCCAGGGAUUGAACCCGCAUCCUCAUGGAUCCUAGUCGGGUUCAUUAACCACUGCACCACAAUGGGAGCUCUCUGUUCCUGAUGGAUGUUCUACAUGGGGAAUCUUAUCAUCACAGGUAAUAAAACAUUUAUCUUUUACCUUCCUGUAUCUGGCUUAUUUCGUUUUCUUAGCAUAUUGGUCAGGACCUCCAGUAUUGCAGUAGUGGCAGUCUGUCUUAUACCCAUGUGUACAGGGAGAUCAUCAUUAAAUAUAUUAAUUAGGAGUUCCCGUCAUGGCGCAGUGGUUAACAAAUCCAACUAGGAAUCAUGAGGUUGCGGGUUCCAUCCCUGGCCUUGCUCAGUAGGUUAAGGAUCUGGCAUUGCUGUGAGCUCUGGUGCAGGUCGAAGAUGCAGCUCGGAUCCCGUGUCGCUGUGGCUGUGGCGUAGGCUGGUGACUACAGCUCCGAUUGGACCCAUAGCCUGGGAACCUCCAUAUGCCUUGGGAGCAGCCCUAGAAAAGGC
This 3880-nucleotide transfer RNA is filed under the name Sus scrofa (pig). RNAcentral describes it as "lncRNA (ENSSSCG00005033903.1)". Lineage: Eukaryota; Metazoa; Chordata; Mammalia; Artiodactyla; Suidae. The record is from RNAcentral.